Molecule: non-coding RNA, 31 nt
Filed under: Homo sapiens (human)
Lineage: Eukaryota; Metazoa; Chordata; Mammalia; Primates; Hominidae
Source: RNAcentral
CUCUCAGGGGUGAUAUAAACCGAGGGGGUAA